This is a small nucleolar RNA of Cephalotus follicularis, 85 nucleotides long. It matches the Rfam family "Small nucleolar RNA R38". From Rfam's summary of the family: snoR38 is a C/D box small nucleolar RNA conserved across yeast, human, Arabidopsis and rice. It is encoded in the intron of elongation factor-1 gamma in both pombe and cerevisiae. snoR38 guides the methylation of 2'-O-ribose sites in 28S rRNA. Lineage: Eukaryota; Viridiplantae; Streptophyta; Magnoliopsida; Oxalidales; Cephalotaceae. The record is from Rfam.
UUUUGUGUAUGAUGUGAACAAUAAUAUUUAUUCUCAGUUAUCCCUGUCUGAUACUUGUGCUGACCAUUAGUGAUCUGUCACAUAC